This 547-nucleotide ribosomal RNA is filed under the name uncultured bacterium. RNAcentral's name for it is "bacterial SSU rRNA". It matches the Rfam family "Bacterial small subunit ribosomal RNA", at positions 355 to 896 of the family's 1533-position model. The record is from RNAcentral.
UGGGGAAUAUUGCACAAUGGGGGGAACCCUGAUGCAGCCAUGCCGCGUGAAUGAAGAAGGCCUUCGGGUUGUAAAGUUCUUUCGGUGACGAGGAAGGUUGGUAGGUUAAUAGCCCAUCAAAUUGACGUUAAUCACAAAAGAAGCACCGGCUAACUCCGUGCCAGCAGCCGCGGUAAUACGGGGGGUGCGAGCGUUAAUCGGAAUAACUGGGCGUAAAGGGCACGCAGGCGGUGACUUAAGUGAGAUGUGAAAGCCCCGAGCUUAACUUGGGAAUUGCAUUUCAUACUGGGUCGCUAGAGUACUUUAGGGAGGGGUAGAAUUCCACGUGUAGCGGUGAAAUGCGUAGAGAUGUGGAGGAAUACCGAAGGCGAAGGCAGCCCCUUGGGAAUGUACUGACGCUCAUGUGCGAAAGCGUGGGGAGCAAACAGGAUUAGAUACCCUGGUAGUCCACGCUGUAAACGAUGUCGAUUUGGGGAUUGGGCUUUGAGCUUGGUGCCCGUAGCUAACGUGAUAAAUCGACCGCCUGGGGAGUACGGCCGCAAGGUUA